RNAcentral lists this long non-coding RNA (1484 nucleotides) under Anas platyrhynchos platyrhynchos (common mallard). Its description in RNAcentral is "lncRNA (ENSAPLG00000024047.1)". Lineage: Eukaryota; Metazoa; Chordata; Aves; Anseriformes; Anatidae. The record is from RNAcentral.
GAUGUUCCACCCUCAGUUGCAUAAAUAGCUAUACACAUCCAUACCAUUUCAAAAAGUAAUUAGAAGUCAUUAAAUCUUGGAAGAAAUAUCUUUUACUUUAGUUUACAUGGCUAAUUACUGUAAUUUAUAACAAACGUUAAAUAAGCUAAUCACACAAUUAAAUGCUGGUUCCUUUUACAAUACUGGUAUCCAGUGCUGUUUUGCUCUUGUUUUAAUGGAUGUGGCAGUGUAAUCCUGCAGUGAUACAUCCAAUCUGUUUUUUUCAGACAGCAGAUUUUAACUCUGCAGUUAGACUGACAUCAGCACAGCACAGCUCUGUGAUACCUUCUUGGCCAUCUGCCUCCAUCUCCUUCAGAGCAAGUAAUAAGCCAGAAACACAUGAGAACUGGCAGUGAUUAAAAAGACAGAACAACUGGAGAAUAAGGUUUAAUUGCUAGUGCUUCAGUUGUGCCAGGAUAAUACUAUGAGCACUGACUCAUCAAAAUCAACUGAUUUCUGACUACAGUGCUGUGUUUUUUGAGUAUCAGGAGAAGAAUAUUUGAAAGGGUAGGCAAAUGUGAAAUUGCUCAUAGCAUUUAGGUACCAUCCUGCCCUUCUAUAGUGCUUUGAUUUGCAGUCUGUAAGUAUAAUGGGACAGCAUAUUUCAGGCUACCACAGAAAACCUUUAGGAUCUCUCUAUUACACGAUGCCCUGUGAUUGUGCAGCCUGGAGCUGAUGACUCAGGUGUAAUGACUUCCAGUGUGAAAUUGCUAAUGAAGUGUUUUGCUGAAUCACCUUCAACUCCAUCCUCACUGAGUUUCCUACUGAUGAAGUGUAAUUAGUGCUGACUCACAGUAGCACAUACAGCCUGUGAAUUUCAGGCAGGAUAUAAGGUGAGAAUGAAGCCUUUGCAAGUAUGGGAAUUUGGGAAGUGUGAGAGAAGACAUUGUGUGAAGCCCAGGAAUGGAGACCAGUCUGCAGCUGCAGCACAGCCCUCACUGACCCAGCCAUCCCCUAACCCGUGUCUGGUGCUUGGCAGCCAGCGUGGGAAGUUUCUGUGCCAGAUAAUGCAGGGCGAUGAGUAUCUAGCAGGCGUUGUAUCCACACCCUCCCUGUCCUCCAGCCGUUCCAAGAAGCUCUUGGGGGGACAUUGCCUCCUUCUGCUUGGGCUGCCAACGUGCCACAGUGGCUCUGAAUCUAGCUCUGCUGCCUGCCCUGGGUGUCUGCUUGGAGCCAGUAGGAGCACAAUGUGAGCUCUAAUACUUGACCAGUAAGAUGUGAUUGCCUCUCCAUUUCCCUCUCUCUCUCUGAAUCAUGACUGAAGUGUGGGGAGGAGAAAUCCAGCACAGCCUCCACAGUCAGCUGCUUGAGGCUAUGACUACACAGCACCUGAAAGUGCACUUGCCCAGAGUCUGUGGCAUUUGUGUGACAUUUUAUAUUUAAGAAGUAGCAUAUUUUUCACUGGUUAGAAUAAAAUGCAAUGUUAUUUAUGUAACUGAUCUUGA